RNAcentral lists this long non-coding RNA (6398 nucleotides) under Capsicum annuum. Its description in RNAcentral is "long non-coding RNA (CANN_LNC008317)". Lineage: Eukaryota; Viridiplantae; Streptophyta; Magnoliopsida; Solanales; Solanaceae. The record is from RNAcentral.
GAUCAACAAUAAAUUAGCAAUGCAAUAAUUCAAUGAGUAAUAUACAUUAACGACAUUGAGAGUUCCAUAAUCCUAUACAGAAUUUAAAAAUAAGAGAAAGAGUAAGAAGACAAAAAAGCUUAGGGUGUUCUAAUGAGACAGGUAAAUCUUUCUUAAAUUUUACAGGAAACUAAAGAAAAAAGAGAACAAGAAAUGAGCUGUCUUUUAACUCAAGCACUUACAUACAUAAAACUUAUUACUGGUCGCCAGCCACAUUACAGAAGGAUUAACCUGAAUAAUGAUUAUUGAUUUUGUCUGCCUUCUCAAUCGAAACUCAUUGCGUGUAUCCAUCCCACGUAAUCCUAUCUGAAUUGAAACAGCAGAGGAAUCCACAACCAUUGUCUUUCUAGGAAACCUUAAAGACGCAUUACAAACUUCUACUCUUAUAAUCACCAUACGUAAUGUAAUCCAACCUGCUGCAACCCCAUACGUGAAUUACCAAAACCUAAGUAUAUUGGAUUACCCUUUCUAUAACUCUUCAAAAACCAAAGGAAGAACAUUGUACAUACAAUUAUAAAAAUAUAUUUUGAGUUCCUUCCUCCUGGUGUUUCGAUCUGCCUGAAUAUGUACAUGAGCUAUUUGCAUAAAGAAAGAAAAAAACUACUCUUUUAUCUCCUUUGACUAUUUAGUCAUCACUGGAAAGUGCAAAAAACUAACCUUUUAAAAAAAGAGGGGGGGGGGGGGAGGAGGGGGGGUAUACAAAGUUCUCUUCUGCUUCAACACAAACUGCUUUGACCAAUGAAUUGAUCCAUCACUUUACUACACUAACUUUUAUCUACUGUACAGUGCUCCAACUACAUUUAAGUCCUCAAGUAAUUUAACGACAAUUGGCUAAAUGCUUUGAUCUCUACUUACCUAAAUAGAAGGUCAUUGAGACUAUUUCUUUGCAUACUACAAGUGCAUAGGUAUAGGCUUUCCCCUGUUGAGAAUGACAUAAGACUUUAAUUAAUAGACUUUUAUUUGGAGUAGUAGUUUUUAAGUGUUAUUGGAGCCUUCAUACCAGUCAUGUUCAAGUAUCUUAAAUUUUGUAGGGACCAAUUUCUAGUAUGGUACUGAACUUUACCCACAAUAAUAAUAAAAUUACUACCAAACUCAGUUAAUAAGCACAUCAAGAAACUGAUAAGUACCUAUAUAAGCCAUCUCUCCCCAAGCAUAACAAGAUAUUACAGAUUUUAUGUUGCAAUAACCACCCCUUAAUCGGGGACGAUCUCUACAAGAGUAAUCUUAAUUGGUUGCCAUUCGGAUUGAGGUUGUAUAAGCCAUUCUUAAUAGCCAUCUGCAAGAUCUGAAGUAUUUUGCCUAAAGCAAACUCCUUUAGGCAUAAUUUCUUAAUAAAUUAUAGCUGCUUCAAACCUAGUGAAAGAUCAAGUAAAUAAGCAAGCUCGGGAUUGGCAUAUAACAGCCAGAUACACAUGAGGAAGCAUCUUUUCUUUUCUUUCGAAAAGGUAAAUCAAACCUAGUGAAAGAUAAAGUAAAUAAGCAAGCUCAGGAUUAGGAUAUAACAGCCAGAUACACAUGAGGAGGCAUCUUUUCUUUUCUUUUGAAAAGGUCAAAUAGACCGACACAAGGAACCAUUUUUAGAGGACCUAACAAAGAUAAGAUAUGCUUAGCAUUAUCCUGAUCACAAUUGACUUUUACACAAUACAAUUGUGUGCUUUGAAUAAACACCCUGGACGUCACACGGUGUUUACAAUCCCGAAGGACCACAAGCUAACCCAUGACUGGUACCUGCUGUGAGCACUGAAUGAUAAUACUGAUAACAUACGCAGAAAUAUAACUGAAAUGUCAUAAGGUUCUCAAGAUACUGAAAUAAAUACUAAAUACUGAUAGUAAUACUGAAAAACUGAGCAUCUGUCUGAAAUAGUCUAGUCCAGAAGCCUCUAACUGUCUGAACAUGGAGUUGAUGGAACAAGUGAUACGAGUACGAUCGUGAUUGUGGAUCAAUACGUAAAGAACCCGUGCUCGAGUGACUAGCCAACUAAUGGAACAAGCUUUAGAGUGUUGGCUCAUUAAGGGCAUUUUAAUCAUUUUGUCAUAAGUUGUAACCUAGGCUAUAAAUAGAACAUAUUAGGUCAUUUUCUCAUAACUUAGAUGAUAUUUUGAGAGCUCUUUGAGAGUGUUCAUACAAGUGUGGAUAUCACUUGUGAUAAGUGUGGAAUCACUUGUGUUGGUUGCUUGUUUUGAAACGUUGGUUGCUUGGGGAUUCCGUUCCCUUGAGGUCACCAUAAGAAUUUGAUGUUAUUUGUAUGAAUUCUUGGAUCUUAGUAUUCAAUAUACACUUUGGUUCAUAGUGUUUGUGCAUUGUGUGUCAAGUUAUCUAUCAUUCUAUCUUAUUAUUGUUAUUGUGUUCAUUCUCAAUUUUGGGUGUCCAACCCGAGAUCUUGUUGUGUCAUUUUUGUUCUUGUUAUUGUGUUGUAAUCUUAGUUUGUGGCUCGCUGAUUAUAGGUGUUGAAAACCUUAGAAUCUUAUUGUUAUCGUGCUUGUAUUGUUAUUGUGUAGUGAAUUCGAGAGGGGUCAUCAAAAGGGGUCCUCGGUUCUUCAAAUCAUGGACUAUUUUGGUGUGUGUUAGUGUCUUCCUUGUCGAUCUUGUAUCAUUUGGUAUCAAAACAUGCUUGAUUUCGUUUUCACAAGAUCAAUCUAGCUUAAAAAUACAAAAAAAAAAAAAAAGUGUAGAAGUUGUUCUUGUUCUUGGCCGAGACAUGUUUCUUUGUGGCUAGAUCUUGUAGUCUUUUGUUUGUUUAGAUUGUUUCUAGUGUUGGUUUCUUUCUCACCAACACUAAAGUGUCUAGAUCUAAAGGUUUGAGCUUAUGUUGUUGAGAUCUUAUUGUUCUUCACAUCUUGACAUCUCUUAAUCAAUAUAAAGUAUAACAUAAAUCAACCACUUUUCCAUAUUUCAAGGACGUUGUUUUGUGGAAAUAGUAAAGUCAAGUCUCACUUUUUGAGUUGGAAUUUGAAAAAGUUUUUAAGACUUGAAUUUUUCCACCAAAAGGCAAACUCAUCCAUCCAAAUUGUAUCAAGACAAAAGCUUCAAAUUGGUGAUUAAAAAAAAAAUUGGGUGGGACCGCGACCAAUUACGUGGCUGCCACGUCAUCACGUUCUACUGUUCACGCAACAUAAGUAAGCUCGAAUUUUUUAAUUUCUUAGUUUCUAAUCUUUGUUUCUUAGUUGCAUUUUGUUGAUUCUAUUGCUAAUUAACAAACUAGUAAUUGUCUACUAGGUUGUAAAUUAGUUUUGGGUCCAUUUAUUCGUGUCUACGUUUCUUUGUGUGCUUUUAUCUUUUCGAAAAUUCGUUGUAGCCUUUUGACUCAAAUACGUACAAAUUUAUUUUGAGUCGUUGCAAACAAAAAUCCAUUCCGACCUUAAGCCGCAAGUGUGACCAAGUAACUUCAUUGGAGUAAAAACGGUGUACCAACACUUGUGAGACCAAUUGAGUGAUACUUCAAAAAGUGUGAGCUUGAGAGUUAGUGAGGGUGAUUUUUGCUAACCUUAACUUGUUAUUGUUUGUGUUUUGUUUAGUAUUUCUUAUUAGGUACAAUGGCUUCGGGUGAAGGUAGUCCAAGAGCCUCGAGAGAGGUAACCAUGGAUGCUUUGUUAGCGGCCAUAAUGAGCGUGAAACAUGAUCUUAGUGGUCGAAUGGAGAGAAUGGAGGAGACUAUGGACGGGAUGGAGGGUUUCUUUUCAAGGAGAAUGGAUACAUUGGAAGAUCGUUUAGAUUCCAACCAUUCAAGUCCGAAACACUACCAUGCCUCGACUAGUGGACAUGCUACCAACCCGGAUACAUUUCCCCAAUUGCUCAAUCCACCUAGACCAACCCAUGAACCCAUCCACCAAGUCCCUACUUAUCCAAAAAACCGAAGUCCAUCAAGAAGCUUCCCAAAUCCUAGACCCCCUUGAUAUGCCGAGAGCACCACUAAACCAAAACCAACCAAUACAAAUUGAUGAUGUGGAAGGUGAAGGGUCUUUAUGGAGGUGAGGGGUUAGAUGAAGCAACUCUCUUUGCAGAAUUUGUGCGCAAUAGAAGAAGAGCUUAUGGCGGGGGACAUAGAGGCCGAGGGGGAAGAGUUGGACCGGCUCCUCAUGGUAGGAGCAACUUGGGACAACGACCUCAUGUUCAAGAAGGUCUAGUGGACCAAGGAGGCAAUGUGGGUAGAGACACGGGCCUAAAUUCCAUUAAGAUCACUCUUCCUUCUUUCAAAGGGACUAGUGAUCCAUCUCUCUAUCUUGAUUGAGAGUUACAAUGUAAUCGGACUUUCCAACUCAACGAGUUAACUUCACAAAAGAAAGUCGCACAUGCCAUUGCUCAAUUUGAAGGUUAUGCAUCCACUUGGUGGGAGACAAAGCGGUUGCAACGGGCAAGGAAUGACAAUCUUGACCUUCCGAAUUGGGAUGAAUUGAAAGCUCUUAUGAGGGAGAGAUAUGUCACGGAAAGGUAAAAACAAGAGCAGCUAGCAAAGCUCUACAACUUAAGGCAAGGAGAUAGAAGUGUGGAGGAGUAUUAUGAUAAGUUUCAAAACUUGAUCCUACAUCUUGACAUAGUCGAACCUCCAAAUCAUUGCCUAGCUCGGUUCAAGGGUGGCUUGUGCUAUGAAGUUGUUUCUCAAUUAGUUGUCCACAAGUUUGACCGAAUUGAGGACCUUGUAGAAGCGGCCAUUGAAGUUGAAAGGAACAACCAUGCUAAGAACACCUUCGGGUGGGACAAGUCCUACAAGCCCUUAGAGAAGAAGCCAUUUGAUAAAACAAUCCAAAGGUAUCCACGACUUGAAGGUACUAAUUCUUCCACUCCUAAUCCUAAGGGUAUCGUUUGUUUUAAAUGUCAAGGUUGGGGUCACAAAGCUAGCGAGUGCCCAAACCGAAGGAACAUUGUACUAAUGGAUGGUGAUCCUUAUUUUGUUGGGGAUAAAGUGACCAAAACUGAUGUUAGUGAAGGAACUCCUCAAGAGGAUGAUGGAGAUGAUGGAGAUGAUGGUGAACCCGAGAGGGUGCUGGAAGAAGGGGAAGUUAAUGUGCCUUGCAGAUUGAUGAGGAGAACAACUCAUGUUGAUGCUUGGCCCGAAGAAGGUGAGGUCUUGAUUCCACCUUGACCUCUUGAUGAUCAAGAACCCAAGAGUACACUAUGGUCCUUGCUCCAAGGAAGUACUCUUUUCUUUUGGUCUUGUUUUUUGUCACGCUUAGGUGGAUAGACAAGUAUUUCUUUUAGUGCUUAGAAGGGUAUCUUAUUCCCUAAGUUCCCACGGUAUGUGUAGAAUAUACACUCGUGGUUUGAUAUUUUUUUGUUGAUUAUGCUAACUUUAACCCUCUCGUCAUGAGGAAUAUGUGUUCUUUUGUCUCCUUUAUUGUUUUGAAGGUUCGGAUUCGAGGUCGAAUCCUUUUUCAAGAAGAGGAGGAUGAUACGAGUACGAUCGUGAAUGUCGAUCAAUACGUAAAGAACUCGUGCUCGGGUGAUUGGCCAACUAAUGGAACAAGCUCUGGAGUGUUGGCUCAUUAAGGGCAUUUUAGUCAUUUUGUAAUAAGUUGUAACCUAGGCUAUAAUUAGAACAUAUUAGGUCAUUUUCUCAUAACUUAGAUGAUAUUUUGAGAGCUCUUAGAGAGUGUUCAUACAAGUGUGGAUAUCACUUGUGAGAAGUGUGGAAUCACUUGUGUUGGUUGCUUGUUUUGAAACGUUGGUUGCUUGGGGAUUCCGUUCCCUUGAGGUCACAGUAAGAACUUGAUGUUAUUUGUAUGAAUUCUUGGGUCUUAGUGUUCAAUAUACACUUUGGUCCAUAGUGUUUGUGCAUUGUAUUUGUUAUUGUGUUGAAAUCUUAGUUUGUGGUUCGCUGAUUAUAGGUGUUGAACACCUUAGAAUCUUAUUGUUAUCGUGUUUGUAUUGUUAUUGUGUAGUGAAUCAGAGAGGGGUUACCAAAAGGGGUCCUCGGUUCUUCAAAUCAUGGACUGUUUUGGUGUGUGUUAGUGUCUUCCUUGUCGAUCUUGUAUCAACAAGUCCCCAACUAACUCCGACUACUGAACUACUGGAAUGUUGAAAUAAUAACUGUCCUCAAAAUAUAAGGACUCACCAAUAUAACUGUUGUUGAUAACCUGAGCUGCAAAGUAUGGUAGGAGCCCGUGCGUCUGAACCUAUGAUAUGAGACAUCAUAGCACAAAAGAAAGAGUAUGCGUCAGUACUUUGAAUGUACUGGUAUGCUAAGUGAGGUAGGGUGAUAUACAUAGGUUCAUAUGCAUAAGAUGAUAACAGACUGAAUGAACAUCAUGAAAUAACUAAAUAAGAGUACAUGCAAAAACUGUAACUACUAAUCAUGCUGAAUAUGCAAUACUGUGCAACUAACCUCUGCCUAAAUUAGACUGAAACUGAAGUACUAAAUUAU